This 253-nucleotide ribosomal RNA is filed under the name uncultured bacterium. RNAcentral describes it as "partial 16S ribosomal RNA". It matches the Rfam family "Bacterial small subunit ribosomal RNA", at positions 524 to 776 of the family's 1533-position model. The record is from RNAcentral.
UACGUAGGGGGCAAGCGUUGUCCGGAUUUAUUGGGCGUAAAGAGCGUGUAGGCGGCCAAGCAGGUCCGCUGUGAAAACUCGAGGCUCAACCUCGAGACGUCGGCGGAAACCAUCUGGCUAGAGUGCGGGAUGGGAGAGUGGAAUUCCUGGUGUAGCGGUGAAAUGCGUAGAUAUCAGGAGGAACACCUGUGGUGUAGACGGCUCUCUGGACCGCAACUGACGCUGAGACACGAAAGCGUGGGUAGCAAACAGG